CACGCCGUAAACGGUGGGCGCUAGGUGUGGGGAACCUUCCACGUUCUCCGUGCCGUAGCUAACGCAUUAAGCGCCCCGCCUGGGGAGUACGGCCGCAAGGCUAAAACUCAAAGGAAUUGACGGGGGCCCGCACAAGCGGCGGAGCAUGCGGCUUAAUUCGAUGCAACGCGAAGAACCUUACCUAGGCUUGACAUGUGGGGAAAUCUGUCAGAGAUGGCAGGUCCGCAAGGGUCCCAUACAGGUGG
RNAcentral lists this ribosomal RNA (245 nucleotides) under uncultured Actinomycetales bacterium. RNAcentral describes it as "partial 16S ribosomal RNA". It matches the Rfam family "Bacterial small subunit ribosomal RNA", at positions 796 to 1041 of the family's 1533-position model. Lineage: Bacteria; Bacillati; Actinomycetota; Actinomycetes; Actinomycetales. The record is from RNAcentral.